RNAcentral lists this ribosomal RNA (253 nucleotides) under uncultured bacterium. Its description in RNAcentral is "partial 16S ribosomal RNA". It matches the Rfam family "Bacterial small subunit ribosomal RNA", at positions 524 to 776 of the family's 1533-position model. The record is from RNAcentral.
UACGAAGGGGGCUAGCGUUGUUCGGAUUUACUGGGCGUAAAGCGCACGUAGGCGGAUCGUUAAGUCGGGGGUGAAAUCCUGGAGCUCAACUCCAGAACUGCCUUCGAUACUGGCGAUCUCGAGUCCGGAAGAGGUGAGUGGAACUCCUAGUGUAGAGGUGGAAUUCGUAGAUAUUAGGAAGAACACCAGUGGCGAAGGCGACUCACUGGUCCGGUACUGACGCCGAGGUGCGAAAGCGUGGGGAGCAAACAGG